AAGUGACUGUUCUGGAGUCUGAGAAGCAGGCUUGGGAGAGCUCCCCUGAAGCUCUGGCAAUCAAAGAAGCACUGAAUCCAUGGAGAAACCAUGACGCAAAAGCAAGAAAAAACUCCUAAUUUCUAGCCUUGGGAUGAAAAUUUUCUUCUGCAAGGGAAGAUGUUGCUGUGUAGGUAGCUAGCUGGAGUCGUGGAGCCAUAUAUGUUUGAAUGUAACUAUUUCAAUGUUUAACAAUCUCUUUCUUUGAUCAUUUUUGAGCUUCUAAAACAUAAUUAGUGCUGUAAAAAAUAAGGUUCAUGACAUGUAUUUGACAACAUUAGCAUAAUGAUGAUAUGAAGCUUAGUGGCGGUUCACACUUGA
Molecule: long non-coding RNA, 360 nt
Organism: Hevea brasiliensis (rubber tree)
Lineage: Eukaryota; Viridiplantae; Streptophyta; Magnoliopsida; Malpighiales; Euphorbiaceae
Exons: 2
Source: RefSeq, a predicted model, not a curated record